This 305-nucleotide ribosomal RNA is filed under the name uncultured bacterium. Its description in RNAcentral is "partial 16S ribosomal RNA". It matches the Rfam family "Bacterial small subunit ribosomal RNA", at positions 505 to 809 of the family's 1533-position model. The record is from RNAcentral.
ACAGCAGUCGCCACGGUAAUACGUAGGUGGCAAGCGUUGUCCGGAAUUAUUGGGCGUAAAGGGCUCGCAGGCGGUUUCUUAAGUCUGAUGUGAAAGCCCCCGGCUCAACCGGGGAGGGUCAUUGGAAACUGGGAAACUUGAGUGCAGAAGAGGAGAGUGGAAUUCCACGUGUAGCGGUGAAAUGCGUAGAGAUGUGGAGGAACACCAGUGGCGGAGGCGACUCUCUGGUCUGUAACUGACGCUGAGGAGCGAAAGCGUGGGGAGCGAACAGGAUUAGAUACCCGAGUAGUCCCUGUCUCUUAUAA